This is a long non-coding RNA of Stylophora pistillata, 1004 nucleotides long. The record is from RefSeq and is a predicted model, not a curated record. NCBI's taxonomy places the organism in Eukaryota, Metazoa, Cnidaria, Anthozoa, Scleractinia, Pocilloporidae.
UCUAAAGGAAAGGCUUUUAACGUUUAAACUUGCCUAGAAUAGUCGAGCAACUGCUGGUGUUUGUGAACUUGACAAAGACCGAGCUGCAAGUGGCAGCUCGCUGCAAAGUUUUUAAAUUUUCCUGAACAAAACUCCAGUUUAAAUUGGCGCUGGACAGGAAAUGUCCAAAUAAAGCAUUGGAGUGGUUAGCAAGCAAUACUCUGAGGACACGAGCUUUUUAAUGUGGAGUACAGCGCGGAGAAUGAGGAUAAGAUUAAACUGAAGAGAACUUAGACAUCAGAAGAGGGACGAUUGGAAAGUGGUAAAUUGAUUUAAGAGGUAAUAGUAGUUGUAACUUUGCACCGCAAUGUACGGUCUUUCAGGAGCUUGUUCAGAAUCUCCAUUCAUCAAAAAGUAGAAAAGAAAUCUAAAGGUGGCUGAGUUCAAAACUUAAGUUUGACAGAACAAAGUCGUCUAGUGAGGAUUAAAAUUUCUUUUCUCACUUGUUCGAGAUGCUUAAAGCUAUUUGUGCCGUGGUCAAUCCGAUUUAUUUCGAAAAUUUAAAAUCCAAAGUCUGUUAAGAUGCUAAGAGAGACACUAGAAGCAAUUUUAUCAGAAGUGUAAUUCCAAACAUAGCCGUGAUUUUCUAAGACUUCAACUAGAGUUCAAACUUUUUUCGGAAUUUAAUUCGUUCGCUGAAUAAGAUAGUCUCUAGUUAACCUCUCUUUAGAACAGUGAUAAUGAGUUAUUCAUUCAUGUAUUCCAAAAAUUCAGACAGACUACACGUCGCUGCCGUUUAUAGUCAACUCUGUAAUUCCUUCUUCGUUUUUUUUUUCAUUCUCAUUUAAAAUUUUUUUUUACAUAUCAGUUCCUCUUAAUGUUGUAUAUGUAUUCUUAACAAGCCAGUUUAUGAAUCCACAAUUUUACUUCGGUAUUUUAGUCUGUGUCAAAUUCGUAUCGCUUUGUUAUUGUUCUUUUUUGCUCGCAUUCAGUUUGCCAAUUAUUGUAAAGUCUUCACUUGUUAC